ACGGACUCAUCAUUCCAGCCAAUCAGCAGCAGACCCUCCCUCCCAGACAGCAUCCAUUUUGAAGCUGCAUUCUUAGUGAGCUGUCCAGGAGUUGGGAGGGUCUGGGAGGGAGGGUCUGCUGCUGAUUGGCUGGAAUGAUGAGUCCG
This is a non-coding RNA of Pelobates cultripes (western spadefoot toad), 146 nucleotides long. NCBI's taxonomy places the organism in Eukaryota, Metazoa, Chordata, Amphibia, Anura, Pelobatidae. The record is from the annotation of a GenBank genome assembly.